Ricinus communis (castor bean) is the source of this 1674-nucleotide RNA transcript. It is a transcript of the gene named pentatricopeptide repeat-containing protein At1g62350, with no coding region annotated. The transcript has 3 exons. NCBI's taxonomy places the organism in Eukaryota, Viridiplantae, Streptophyta, Magnoliopsida, Malpighiales, Euphorbiaceae. The record is from RefSeq and is a predicted model, not a curated record.
UUAAAAGUUAAAAAAUAAAAUUAAAACUGAAAAAAAACCAAUUUUUCCUACCUCAAUCACAAUCGAAAACCACCCGAAUACCUCAUAAUAGUGCUUACAGCAAAACCCAUAUGCCAGUCGCCACCAACAAAAAUAAACCAUAGCCUGAAUCAAACAAAAAAGCACUCUAAUUUCAAACAAGAAACACUCUUGCAAAAGCUUCUUUGAUUGUGUUAUCUUCUAUGUGGCGUUUCAUUUCAAAUCUUGUACACACAACUAAUAAAAUCACUUCACUUUCUUCAACUAGUGAUCGAUUUUUCUCUAAAAUCGCUUGCAUAACAAAGCACCAAAACACAAAGCAACAGCAACAUUAUUUGUUUAGUUUUUGGCGAUAUUUUAUUUCUAAUUCGUCGUCUAAACCCAGUUUAUCAAUAUGGAGGCGAAAGAAGGAGAUGGGUAAAGAGGGUUUGAUUGUGGCCAAAGAGCUUAAAAGACUACAGUCCAAUCCGGUUCGGCUUGAUCGGUUCAUUAAGUCGCAUGUUUCUCGCUUGCUCAAAUCUGAUCUUGUCUCCGUCCUUGCUGAGUUUCAAAGGCAAGACCAGGUUUUUCUUUGUAUGAAGUUAUAUGAUGUAGUGCGCAAAGAAAUAUGGUAUCGGCCAGACAUGUUCUUCUAUAGGGACAUGCUUAUGAUGCUUGCAAGAAACAAAAAGGUUGAUGAAGUGAAGCUGGUUUGGCAAGAUUUGAAGAGAGAGGGAGUGUUGUUUGAUCAACAUACCUUCGGGGACAUCAUCAGGGCCUUCUUAGACAGUGAGUUGCCAUCAGAAGCAAUGGACAUUUAUGAGGAGAUGAGACAAUCUCCAGAGAUUCCAUUAUCUUUGCCUUUUCGAGUGAUCUUGAAAGGGCUUCUUCCAUACCCAGAUUUGAGGGAGAAGGUCAAAGAUGAUUUCUUAGAGCUUUUUCCGAACAUGACCGUAUAUGACCCAGCUGAAGACUUGUUUGAAGAUCGAGAAAUGGAGAGCGAAGAUGAUUAGAAGGCGAUAGAUGUUCAUUUAUUAGUGACAGAUAAUGCUUGCUUCUGCAGAUUUUAACUAACUGCAACAGCUGGAAGACGUGGAUGCCGACAUAAUGUUGAGCUCAUGGUCCUUCGUGAUUCUAUUGAAUUGACUGGAUGAUGCCUCCAACUUUGGAGCUUUGCAUGCAAUGCAAUUUUUCCCUUUGUCGCGCAUACAAUUAUGCCUUGAUAAAAAGCAUCGCAUAGUGCCUAGGAUGUAGUUUAUUGUCAAGUUGGGAAGGAAGUGCUUGCUAUGCCAAAAAUAUGAGUGAGCCUUGGUGCAAUGAUGAGGUUGUUUCAUUUUCACUAGGAGAUCGCAGGCUCAAAGUCCCAAUUAGAAAACAAGCUCCUCCAUUGUGCCUUGUAGAUCAUGGCUUAAAGCACAAAAACAGUCUCCCUGUAUUGCAGGAGGAAUAGAACUCUCCCUAGAUUCUAUAACAUAUUAGGAUAUACAUGGGCCAGUUCUUUUGCUUCCUGGUUGCUGAUUCUAUGUUUCUCUUCUGUAUGCAUACAUCCUAUUGAUUCCCAUCUAUAGUGCAAGACAUGGAAGGGAAGCAAAUAUCCUUAGAACAGAGUAAUAUUCUUAUAUAAUUUGUAAUAAUAAUUGAGAAACUUUAAAAGAUUGCUUCUUUCUUUUCUAAUCA